RNAcentral lists this transfer RNA (104 nucleotides) under Promethearchaeota archaeon. Its description in RNAcentral is "Candidatus Lokiarchaeota archaeon (permafrost metagenome) tRNA-Arg". It matches the Rfam family "tRNA". Rfam says of the family: Transfer RNA (tRNA) molecules are approximately 80 nucleotides in length. Lineage: Archaea; Promethearchaeati; Promethearchaeota. The record is from RNAcentral.
GGACUCGUAGCCUAGCAUGGCUGUUUUUACUCCAGUAUAAAUGGUGUAAAUAGGGCGUCGGACUUCUAAUCCGAAUGUCGCAGGUUCGAAUCCUGCCGGGUCCG